GGGGAAUCUUGCGCAAUGGCCGAAAGGCUGACGCAGCGACGCCGCGUGGGGGAGGAAGGGCUUCGGCUCGUAAACCCCUGUUGCCCGGGGCGAACAUCCCUUUUCGAGGGGACUGACGGUACCGGGUGAGGAAGCACCGGCUAACUCCGUGCCAGCAGCCGCGGUAAUACGGAGGGUGCGAGCGUUGUCCGGAAUCACUGGGCGUAAAGGGCGCGUAGGCGGCCGAGCAAGGUCGCGGUGAAAGCCCGGGGCUCAACCCCGGGUCGGCCGUGGCAACUACUCGGCUCGAGCACUGUAGGGGCGGGUGGAAUUCCGGGUGUAGCGGUGGAAUGCGUAGAGAUCCGGAAGAACACCGGUGGCGAAGGCGGCCCGCUGGGCAGGAAGGCCUCGUAAGAGGCCGGCUGACGCUGAGGCGCGACAGCGUGGGGAGCAAAC
RNAcentral lists this ribosomal RNA (435 nucleotides) under uncultured bacterium. RNAcentral describes it as "bacterial SSU rRNA". It matches the Rfam family "Bacterial small subunit ribosomal RNA", at positions 356 to 773 of the family's 1533-position model. The record is from RNAcentral.